Molecule: RNase P RNA, 468 nt
Filed under: Haloferax sp. wsp5
Lineage: Archaea; Methanobacteriati; Methanobacteriota; Halobacteria; Halobacteriales; Haloferacaceae
Description: RNase P RNA component
Rfam family: Archaeal RNase P
About the family: Ribonuclease P (RNase P) is a ubiquitous endoribonuclease, found in archaea, bacteria and eukarya as well as chloroplasts and mitochondria.
Source: RNAcentral
GGCAGAGAGAGCCCAGUUCCCGUGCCCGAGACGGGCAUGAGGAAAGUCCCCCCACCGUCCGAACGGGUGACCGGGCGCAAGCCCGGAGUCGGAGACGGCUGGCGCUGGAACAGAAACGAGACCGCUCGACCUGACCGAUGAGUGCGCGCCCGAGCGGGCUGGUCGUGCCCCACCGACGGUGCGGCACGCGGCCAAAGCGAGGGAGAGCUAACCCACCGAGGGCAGUCGCGACCCGGUGACGCCGGGGCGCGCGUCGCGGCCACGUGCGCACCACCCGUGGGAAGCUGAGACGCCCCACGCAUUGGGUGGGCUCGGCGAUCGCCACGCUCCCGGCGAGAACGGAUGGAACGGCGAAUCCUCACCGGUGCAAGUCCGCGCCGCGAGGUAGUCGGACGCCGCGCGCCGGGUUGGACGCGGACGCUGAGCCGAAUGCUGGGACGAACAGAAGGGGGCUUACUCCUCUCAGCC